RNAcentral lists this unclassified non-coding RNA (612 nucleotides) under Hevea brasiliensis (rubber tree). The record is from RNAcentral. Lineage: Eukaryota; Viridiplantae; Streptophyta; Magnoliopsida; Malpighiales; Euphorbiaceae.
CACCACUUCCAAGACCAGGAAACAAUGAAGCACCAAGGCCCGAACCGGAAAAUGGUCCACCUACAUUUGGAGCGGCAUCAGAGGGUGCAUUCUGAUUAGCAUUUGGAUUUCCAGUAUUGACUGCACUUGCAGUAUUAACAGCGGCAGCUGGUGCAAAACCUCGAACCAAAUGGACGGUAUGAUCUGCCUCAAGACCGUAGCUUGUUAGGGUUUGCUCGUCCUUUAAGAUCCGGCCUUUAUAGAUCAAUCUCUGCUGCUCGGCUGGAAUGUCGGAGUGCUGAGCAAGGGUGGACUUGAAGGAUCCAACACUUGAGUCUAGAGCCACCUGAACGGUAAAUUUGGAGCCGUUGGAACAUCGGACAUUGAUUAUAACUUUUUGAUCGCCGGUGGCGUUAUUCUCGUUAUCCUCUUUUGCCGCCGCAGCACUAGUAUCACCGCCGCCCAUACUCAAAACCCUCCCCUUCAACAAUUCGGGAGGCCUGUAGACUAAUCAAUGGCGAACCGUAACCUGAGACGGACUGUGAUGAAUUCGGAAUCGCCGAUUAAUCGGAAACGGGAGAAUGAAGAAGAAGCCCUAAUUCAGAUGAUUUCACGAUUUCAGGGCGAAACUGG